RNAcentral lists this ribosomal RNA (468 nucleotides) under uncultured bacterium. Its description in RNAcentral is "partial 16S ribosomal RNA". It matches the Rfam family "Bacterial small subunit ribosomal RNA", at positions 28 to 507 of the family's 1533-position model. The record is from RNAcentral.
GACGAACGCUGGCGGCGGGCUUAACACAUGCAAGUCGAACGGGAAGGCCCUGCUUUUGUGGGGUGCUCGAGUGGCGAACGUGUGAGUAACACGUGAGUAACCUGCCCUUGACUUUGGGAUAACUUCAGGAAACUGGUGCUAAUACCGGAUAUGAGCUCCUGCUGCAUGGUGGGUGUUGGAAAGUUGCGGCGGGUGGGGAUGGACUCGCGGGUUAUCAGCGUGUUGGUGGGGGAGUGGCUUACCAAGGCUUGGACGGGUAGCCGGCCUGAGAGGGUGACCGGCACCAUUGGGACUGAGAUACGGCCGAGACUCCUAAGGGAGGCAGCAGAGGGGAAUAUUGACCAAUGGGCGGAAGCCUGAUGCAGCAACGCCGCGUGAGGGAUGACGGCCUUCGGGUUGUAAACCGCUUUCGCCUGUGACGAAGCGUGAGUGACGGUAAUGGGUAAAGAAGCACCGGCUAACUACGUG